Molecule: ribosomal RNA, 468 nt
Filed under: uncultured bacterium
Lineage: Bacteria
Description: partial 16S ribosomal RNA
Rfam family: Bacterial small subunit ribosomal RNA
Source: RNAcentral
GAUGAACGCUGGCGGCGUGCUUAAUACAUGCAAGUCGAACGGAUAGGCCCUGCUUUUGUGGGGUUCUCGAUUGGCGAACGGGUGAGUAACACGUGAGUAACCUCCUCCUGACUUUCUGAUAACUUCAUGUAACUGCGGCUACUACUGCAUAGUAGCUCUUGCUGCCUGGUGGGGCUUGGUUAGUUUCGGCUGUUGGGGAUGGUCUCGCGGCUUAUCAGCUUGUUUGUUGGGUAGUUGCUUACCAAGGCUUUGACGGGUAGGCGGCCUGGGCGGGUGGCCAGCGACAUUGGGACUGAGAGACGGCGCAGACUGGUACGGGAGGCAGCAGGGGAGAAUAUGGCAGAGUGAGCGGGAGCGUGAGGCGACAGCGCUGCGUGCGGGAAGACGGCCUGCGGGGGAAAAACCGCUUUAGCAUGUGACGAAGCGUGAGUGACGGUAAUGGGUAAGGAAGCAACGGCUAACUACGUG